Long non-coding RNA from Rhineura floridana, 959 nucleotides. RefSeq lists it as uncharacterized. The transcript is spliced from 4 exons. NCBI's taxonomy places the organism in Eukaryota, Metazoa, Chordata, Lepidosauria, Squamata, Rhineuridae. The record is from RefSeq and is a predicted model, not a curated record.
ACACUUAACAGAUCCAAUAAUGAGGCAAGACCUAAAAGGAAAGAAAGCUUGAUGAUGAGAGCAUCAAAUCUGCACCGCUGAUUUUGUUACGAUUACCAUCCUCCAGCAGAGAUAAAACCAAAGGCACCACUAAAAUAGAGAAACAGAAUGGGAUUAGUGUGAUGUUCCUAUAUUAAUGUAUAUAUGGAUUUGUCAAGCUUGAAAGCCAUUCUGCACUAUCCGAAAGGCAAGCAUUGGCAAACAAAAGUCCAAUGCUGUACGUUGUUUUCUUUGAAGAUGUAAUCUUUCCUCUCUCGGUCAGAUGUGAUCCAAGGCGGAAUGGAGAAGAAACUUCAUAAAUAAAUACUGUAGGAUAAAUAUCCAUAAAUAUUAUUUCUAGGAACUCUGGAAGUACGGAUUUGAAGCUGUGAUUGCAGAAACAAUGCUGGCAGUUAGGAAUGUUGAAGUAACCAUCAGAAAAUUCCACUGGAAAUUCUUCUAUGUUCAAAACAGAUAAUCAGAUUUCCUCGAACCAUGGAACUGAACGUAUUUAACCAAAAUAUUUGAAACCCCAAAUAAAUUCCCAAUGGCAAUUCUUUUGUUGCAGUUCUGAUACCAGAACAAAUCCCCAGUGUGGGUGGAACCAUCCUCAAACACCAACAUAUACUUUACUAUUCCCUGAACUCUGAGAAAAUCUGGAAGGGUAUAUAGCACUCCUCAAAUCCCCAAAGGGCUGUAGUGAAGAAGAGGGCAAAGACUUGUUCUCUGCUACCCCAGAGAGCAGAAUCAGUCUAAUAUACUUAGGUCACAGGAGGGCAGAUUCUGGUCAAACAUUGGAAGAAGCUUAAUGAGUGUAAGAGGAACUCACCAGUUGCCUCAGGAAUGGCCUGCAUUCUCACAGAGGCAAACUUCCAGGGGCUGCAUGCCAGUGGCAGGCAGGGCCAGAGAUGUGACUCAUCUUUGUACAGUAGGCUACAUUC